This 647-nucleotide long non-coding RNA is filed under the name Trifolium pratense (red clover). RNAcentral's name for it is "long non-coding RNA (TPRA_LNC003393)". The record is from RNAcentral. Lineage: Eukaryota; Viridiplantae; Streptophyta; Magnoliopsida; Fabales; Fabaceae.
CUUCUUCUUCUUCUAGGACAUCUAUGAAUUUCGCAAACAAACAAGAUAUCCAUUGGAACGGGAACAAAAAAGAAGGAAACAAACCAGCCAAGAUACAUAAGAAAGAAAGAAAAGAAGUAAUUAAUUUAGAGUUUGUACCUUGGCGGCAAAAGGAAUCAGUGUUGUCUUCUUGUUCUCCUUCAGGAACGGGGGGUCUUGCAAGUGCAAGAGCUUCCUGGAAGAUGCGGAACCUGCGGUCUUCCUCCUUUUUGGAAGGGUAUGUUACUGAAUUCAUCGUGCACCACAUCUUGAAAAUAUCUCUAUUUGUGAGGCUUGCAACAUUAGGAAUGGAAUCAGUGUUGUCUUCUUCUCCUACUACAUCUAUCAAUUUCGCAAACAAACAAGAAAUCCGUUCGAACGGGAACAAAAAAUGAAUGCAAUUAUGAGCAAUGAAGCAUUGAUUGACUUACUAUCAGCUCCAGAAGUUUUGAGAAGCUCAAGAGCAGAAAUGGUGGUGCUACUUUGAUCAUCACCGGUCUUAACUGCUCCAUUAGAAUUUAAAGCUUCACAGCGAAUAAUCCCUUUUUGAAUGGAAAGUGAAAUAUGGUUUCACAACGAAACAACCAUUGUUAUAUACCUUUUUUUUACAAACCAUUGUGAUAUACUCG